GCCUUAGUAACGGCGAGUGAAGCGGCAAUAGCUCAAAUUUGAAAUCUGGCUCUUUCAGAGUCCGAGUUGUAAUUUGUAGAAGAUGCUUCGGCUUACGUACUGGUCUAAGUUCCUUGGAACAGGACGUCACAGAGGGUGAGAAUCCCGUUUGUGGCCGGUACUUCCGCUAUGUGAAGCUCCUUCGACGAGUCGAGUUGUUUGGGAAUGCAGCUCUAAAUGGGAGGUAAAUUUCUUCUAAAGCUAAAUAUUGGCCAGAGACCGAUAGCGCACAAGUAGAGUGAUCGAAAGAUGAAAAGCACUUUGGAAAGAGAGUUAAAAAGUACGUGAAAUUGUUGAAAGGGAAGCGCUUGCGACCAGACUUGCCUUUAGUUGCUCCGCCGGUCCUUCGACCGGUGUAUUCUUCUAUUGUCAGGCCAGCAUCAGUUUGGGUGGUUGGAUAAAGACUUUGGGAAUGUGACUCUCUUCGGGGAGUGUUAUAGCCCUUUGUGCAAUACAGCCUACCUAGACUGAGGACCGCGCUUCGGCUAGGAUGCUGGCGUAAUGGUCGUAAGCGGCCCGUCUUGAAACACGGACCAAGGAGUCUAACAUCUAUGCGAGUGUUUGGGUGUCAAACCCGUGCGCGAAAUGAAAGUGAACGGAGGUGGGAACCUUUGGGUGCACCAUCGACCGAUCCUGAUGUCUUCGGAUGGAUUUGAGUAAGAGCAUAGCUGUUGGGACCCGAAAGAUGGUGAACUAUGCCUGAAUAGGGUGAAGCCAGAGGAAACUCUGGUGGAGGCUCGCAGCGGUUCUGACGUGCAAAUCGAUCGUCAAAUUUGGGUAUAGGGGCGAAAGACUAAUCGAACCAUUA
RNAcentral lists this ribosomal RNA (847 nucleotides) under Helicoma linderi. RNAcentral describes it as "LSU rRNA". It matches the Rfam family "Eukaryotic large subunit ribosomal RNA", at positions 77 to 945 of the family's 3401-position model. Lineage: Eukaryota; Fungi; Ascomycota; Dothideomycetes; Tubeufiales; Tubeufiaceae. The record is from RNAcentral.